GGGCUUGACAUCCCACGAACCUGGUGGAAACACCGGGGUGCCUUCGGGAGCCGCAAGACAGGUGCUGCAUGGCUGUCGUCAGCUCGUGUCGUGAGAUGUUGGGUUAAGUCCCGCAACGAGCGCAACCCUCACCCCUUGUUGCCACCAGGUAAAGCUGGGCACUCUAGGGGAACUGCCCCGGUCAACGGGGAGGAAGGCGGGGACGACGUCAAGUCAUCAUGCCCCUUACGUCCUGGGCUACACACGUGCUACAAUGGCCGGUACAGAGGGAUGCAAGACUGCGAGGUGGAGCUAAACCCAAAAAGCCGGUCUAAGUUCAGAUUGGAGUCUGCAACUCGACUCCAUGAAGGAGGAAUCGCUAGUAAUCGCGUAUCAGCACGACGCGGUGAAUACGUUCCCGGGCCUUGUACACACCGCCCGUCACACCACGAAAGCCGGCUGUACUCGAAGUCGCUGAG
RNAcentral lists this ribosomal RNA (458 nucleotides) under uncultured Methylomirabilota bacterium. Its description in RNAcentral is "bacterial SSU rRNA". It matches the Rfam family "Bacterial small subunit ribosomal RNA", at positions 977 to 1434 of the family's 1533-position model. The record is from RNAcentral. Lineage: Bacteria; Methylomirabilota (SeqCode).